RNAcentral lists this transfer RNA (64 nucleotides) under Xylophaga oregona. RNAcentral describes it as "tRNA-Arg". The record is from RNAcentral. Lineage: Eukaryota; Metazoa; Mollusca; Bivalvia; Myida; Xylophagaidae.
GGGGUGGUAGUAAAGUAAUUACGUUUGGUUUCGGCCCACAAGGAGGGAUUUUUCCCCCACCCCU